RNAcentral lists this ribosomal RNA (824 nucleotides) under uncultured Chrysophyceae. RNAcentral's name for it is "bacterial SSU rRNA". It matches the Rfam family "Bacterial small subunit ribosomal RNA", at positions 481 to 1325 of the family's 1533-position model. Lineage: Eukaryota; Chrysophyceae. The record is from RNAcentral.
GAGGAAUAAGCAUCGGCUAACCCUGUGCCAGCAGCCGCGGUAAUACAGGGGAUGCAAGUGUUAUCCGGAAUUAUUGGGCGUAAAGCGUCUGUAGGUUGAUAAUUAAGUCUUUUGUUAAACCUUCGGGCUCAACCCGAAAUCUGCGAAAGAAACUAUUUAUCUUGAGUAUAGUAGGGGUAAAGGGAAUUUCCAGUGGAGCGGUGAAAUGCGUAGAGAUCGGAAAGAACACCAAAAGCGAAGGCACUUUACUGGGCUAUAACUGACACUGAGAGACGAAAGCUAGGGGAGCAAACGGGAUUAGAUACCCCGGUAGUCCUAGCUGUAAACGAUGGAUACUAGAUAUUGUGUAUUUUAGAUAUACAGUGUCGUAGCUAACGCGUUAAGUAUCCCGCCUGGGGAGUAUGCUCGCAAGGGUGAAACUCAAAGGAAUUGACGGGGGCCCGCACAAGCGGUGGAGCAUGUGGUUUAAUUCGAUGCAACACGAAGAACCUUACCAGGACUUGACAUGGAGAGAAGUUUUCAGAAAGGAAAAUGUGCUACGGCCUCUUACACAGAUGGUGCAUGGCUGUCGUCAGCUCGUGUCGUGAGAUGUUGGGUUAAGUCCCGCAACGAGCGCAACCCUUGUCUUUAGUUAAUAUUCUAAAGAGACUGCCGGUUAUAAACCGGAGGAAGGUGAGGAUGACGUCAAGUCAUCAUGCCUCUUACGUCCUGGGCUACACACGUGCUACAAUGGGUAUGACAAAAAGUUGCCAGUUUGCGAAAACGCGCGAAUCUCUAAACAUAUCCUUAGUUCAGAUUGCAGGCUGCAACUCGCCUACGUGAAG